GAGGGUAUAGCUCAGUGGUAGAGUGUGUACUUAGCAUGCUCGAGGUCUUGGGUUCAAUUCCCAGUACCUCCA
Molecule: transfer RNA, 72 nt
Filed under: Camelus bactrianus (Bactrian camel)
Lineage: Eukaryota; Metazoa; Chordata; Mammalia; Artiodactyla; Camelidae
Also listed under: 1 other name
Rfam family: tRNA
About the family: Transfer RNA (tRNA) molecules are approximately 80 nucleotides in length.
Source: Rfam by way of RNAcentral